GAUGAACGCUAGCGGCAGGCCUAAUACAUGCAAGUCGGACGGGAUUCAGGAGCUUGCUUCUGAUGAGAGUGGCGCACGGGUGCGUAACACGUAUGUAACCUACCUUUAUCAGGGGGAUAGCCUCUCGAAAGAGAGAUUAAGCCCGCAUAAAAUCACAGCACAGCAUUGUGUAAUGAUCAAAUAUUUAUAGGAUAAAGAUGGGCAUGCGGAACAUUAGCUAGAUGGCGGGGUAACGGCCCACCAUGGCGACGAUGUUUAGGGGAUCUGAGAGGAUGGCCCCCCACACUGGUACUGAGACACGGACCAGACUCCUACGGGAGGCAGCAGUAAGGAAUAUUGGUCAAUGGGCGGAAGCCUGAAUCAGCCAUGCCGCGUGCAGGAAGACGGCCCUACGGGUUGUAAACUGCUUUUAUACGGGAAUAAACCCAGAUACGUGUAUCUGGCUGAAUGUACUGUAAGAAUAAGGAUCGGCUAACUCCGUG
RNAcentral lists this ribosomal RNA (482 nucleotides) under uncultured bacterium. RNAcentral's name for it is "partial 16S ribosomal RNA". It matches the Rfam family "Bacterial small subunit ribosomal RNA", at positions 28 to 507 of the family's 1533-position model. The record is from RNAcentral.